UGGGGAAUAUUGGACAAUGGACCAAAAGUCUGAUCCAGCAAUUCUGUGUGCACGAUGACGUUUUUCGGAAUGUAAAGUGCUUUCAGUUGGGAAGAAAAAAAUGACGGUACCAACAGAAGAAGUGACGGCUAAAUACGUGCCAGCAGCCGCGGUAAUACGUAUGUCACAAGCGUUAUCCGGAUUUAUUGGGCGUAAAGCGCGUCUAGGUGGUUAUGUAAGUCUGAUGUGAAAAUGCAGGGCUCAACUCUGUAUUGCGUUGGAAACUGCAUGACUAGAGUACUGGAGAGGUAAGCGGAACUACAAGUGUAGAGGUGAAAUUCGUAGAUAUUUGUAGGAAUGUCGAUGGGGAAGCCAGCUUACUGGACAGAUACUGACGCUAAAGCGCGAAAGCGUGGGUAGCAAACAGGAUUAGAUACCCUGGUAGUCCACGCCGUAAACGAUGAUUACUAGGUGUUGGGGGUCGAACCUCAGCGCCCAAGCUAACGCGAUAAGUAAUCCGCCUGGGGAGUACGUACGCAAGUAUG
RNAcentral lists this ribosomal RNA (524 nucleotides) under uncultured bacterium. Its description in RNAcentral is "bacterial SSU rRNA". It matches the Rfam family "Bacterial small subunit ribosomal RNA", at positions 355 to 896 of the family's 1533-position model. The record is from RNAcentral.